Drosophila grimshawi is the source of this 74-nucleotide small nucleolar RNA. It matches the Rfam family "Small nucleolar RNA Me28S-Cm788". Rfam says of the family: Me28S-Cm788 is a member of the C/D class of snoRNA which contain the C (UGAUGA) and D (CUGA) box motifs. This family directs 2'-O-methylation of 28S C-788. The record is from Rfam. NCBI's taxonomy places the organism in Eukaryota, Metazoa, Arthropoda, Insecta, Diptera, Drosophilidae.
AUUAUACAAUGAUGAAUUAUCAUAUGUUAGACUAAUGAAAAAUUUUGAAUAAAAUUCGAUUCACUGAGCUCAAU